CGGGGGCAUACAAAAACAGUAGAGAUGAAGAGUUGAUGUUUUGAAGUAUUCUCAUUGGGUGGAGGUGGGCAUGUAAAAUCACAAGAGAUGUUGUGUUGUUAUUGAGUAUAUUUCUCUUUGGAAAAAGGGGAGGGUGGCAUAGAAAAUCAAUUUUGUAUUAGGGGGGGGGGAAACAAUUGAAAAUCUCAUUGAUGGAAUUGGGGACCAUAUUUAAACAGAAGAGGUGCAGAGUUGCUGUUUAAUAGAAUUCUCAUUUGUUGGGGAGGGGGAGUAGUAAGUAAGUAAAACGGUAGACAUACAGUACAAGUGUUGCAGUUUUAGUAGGUAAAAAUGUGUAUCUUGUCUAGCCAUGUCACAACAUCAGUCUGAUAAAAUAUAUUUUUAUAUUUGAUCUAGGUAUUUAUUAUCAUAUUUAAAAAAAAUUUAAAAAUAAUGUAUAUUUUUAUAUCAUAUUAAAGCAUAUUUUGUAUU
Molecule: long non-coding RNA, 471 nt
Filed under: Mytilus galloprovincialis (Mediterranean mussel)
Lineage: Eukaryota; Metazoa; Mollusca; Bivalvia; Mytilida; Mytilidae
Source: RNAcentral